Molecule: ribosomal RNA, 497 nt
Filed under: uncultured bacterium
Lineage: Bacteria
Description: partial 16S ribosomal RNA
Rfam family: Bacterial small subunit ribosomal RNA
Source: RNAcentral
GAUGAACGCUGGCGGCGUGCCUAAUACAUGCAAGUCGAGCGAACAGACGAGGAGCUUGCUCCUCUGACGUUAGCGGCGGACGGGUGAGUAACACGUGGAUAACCUACCUAUAAGACUGGGAUAACUUCGGGAAACCGGAGCUAAUACCGGAUAAUAUAUUGAACCGCAUGGUUCAAUAGUGAAAGACGGUUUUGCUGUCACUUAUAGAUGGAUCCGCGCCGCAUUAGCUAGUUGGUAAGGUAACGGCUUACCAAGGCGACGAUGCGUAGCCGACCUGAGAGGGUGAUCGGCCACACUGGAACUGAGACACGGUUCAGACUCCUACGGGAGGCAGCAGUAGGGAAUCUUCCGCAAAGGGCGAAAGCCUGACGGAGCAACGCCGCGUGAGUGAUGAAGGUCUUCGGAUCGUAAAACUCUGUUAUUAGGGAAGAACAAAUGUGUAAGUAACUAUGCACGUCUUGACGGUACCUAAUCAGAAAGCCACGGCUAACUACGUG